GGGGAAUAUUGGACAAUGGGCGAAAGCCUGAUCCAGCAAUGCCGCGUGAGUGAUGAAGGCCUUAGGGUUGUAAAGCUCUUUUACCAGGGAUGAUAAUGACAGUACCUGGAGAAUAAGCUCCGGCUAACUCCGUGCCAGCAGCCGCGGUAAUACGGAGGGAGCUAGCGUUGUUCGGAAUUACUGGGCGUAAAGCGCGCGUAGGCGGCGUUUCAAGUCAGAGGUGAAAGCCUGGAGCUCGACUCCGGAACUGCCUUUGAAACUAGAACGCUAGAAUCUUGGAGAGGUCAGUGGAAUUCCGAGUGUAGAGGUGAAAUUCGUAGAUAUUCGGAAGAACACCAGUGGCGAAGGCGACUGACUGGACAAGUAUUGACGCUGAGGUGCGAAAGCGUGGGGAGCAAAC
RNAcentral lists this ribosomal RNA (400 nucleotides) under uncultured bacterium. Its description in RNAcentral is "bacterial SSU rRNA". It matches the Rfam family "Bacterial small subunit ribosomal RNA", at positions 356 to 773 of the family's 1533-position model. The record is from RNAcentral.